RNAcentral lists this non-coding RNA (22 nucleotides) under Arabidopsis thaliana (thale cress). The record is from RNAcentral. Lineage: Eukaryota; Viridiplantae; Streptophyta; Magnoliopsida; Brassicales; Brassicaceae.
CCUUGAUGGAGAUGCCCUUACA